CCCGAUGGAAAACUUUCCAAAUCAUAACUCAUAUGAUGAAUUUCAAAAUACGAUGACCUUCAUGUUUUCGGGGAAGAUAACUAAUACAAUCUAUAAAACUAAAGUUCUCAAGUUCUUAUCUUAGAGAACCCAAAUCAUUUGUUUGGAACACCAUUACUAAGUACCGUUAUUCUUUAGAGAAUCAUCACCCUCGCGAUGCAAUUCUUAUGUUUUGUGAUUUCUUCGUGAAUCAGCAAUAAUCCCAAAUAAUAACUACAUGUGAAUAGCUUGUAUUCUAAAUGCUAGCUGUGAUAUUGUCUUCGCUGGAAGUGUUUGAUUGAGUGAUUUCCCGGAAUUCUUAAAUUCGUGGGUAUGUGAAUGGUGGAAAAAUUUAACUUUCCCACAACUUGUUCGACGAAAUGCCAGAGAAGGAUUCAUUAUCUGGACUAUUCUGGCAGUUAUAGCAGUACGGGUUCAUUUUGUCUGUCAUCGAUGCUUGGGCCUGAUCCAGAUUACCUGGCUGCUAACCCCAUAGAGGAACGUACGUACACAUCUAAACAAGUUCAGGAUGUAGUAAGGCCGUAAGCAGCUGAUGCCACGAGUCUCUAUAACAAACGAGCAGGUACAAAAUAUGAGCUGGUGGAGCCUGGUUACCUUACAUCUGUGCUUCUUAGGACAUGCUUUCUUCACCAUGUCGACUUCACGGCUAAGAAGACUGAUGUUGCUGAUGCUCCAGUGGAGAUGUUUUUUGCUGAACUGACAACUACCAGUGGGGUUCGUUGUGUCAAGGUUUGCAGAUGCAUGGGGCUAAGAGACUCGUUUUCAGGAGAUAAAAACAAGGGCUGCUGUUAUUUCACACAUGAAAAUGUUCAGCAUCCUAGGGAUGGAGGAUUUUCGCGUGGGGGUGAAGGAUUAUUCCUUGAUCGUUGGCACUGAACUUUUUAUGAACAUAACAAUUUAGAGUUGGACUAUAUUUGACGCAUGCGUAGCUUGCCUUUUGAUAUUUGUGCCUCUGAAUGAAAAUCUGGCCUCUGUGUUAAGUUUAUCGAUUCUUUAACUGCAC
Molecule: long non-coding RNA, 1042 nt
Organism: Papaver somniferum (opium poppy)
Lineage: Eukaryota; Viridiplantae; Streptophyta; Magnoliopsida; Ranunculales; Papaveraceae
Exons: 4
Source: RefSeq, a predicted model, not a curated record